GGGUUGUGAGGUUAAGCGACUAAGCGUACACGGUGGAUGCCCUGGCAGUCAGAGGCGAUGAAGGACGUGCUAAUCUGCGAUAAGCGUCGGUAAGGUGAUAUGAACCGUUAUAACCGGCGAUUUCCGAAUGGGGAAACCCAGUGUGUUUCGACACACUAUCAUUAACUGAAUCCAUAGGUUAAUGAGGCGAACCGGGGGAACUGAAACAUCUAAGUACCCCGAGGAAAAGAAAUCAACCGAGAUUCCCCCAGUAGCGGCGAGCGAACGGGGAGGAGCCCAGAGCCUGAAUCAGUGUGUGUGUUAGUGGAAGCGUCUGGAAAGGCGCGCGAUACAGGGUGACAGCCCCGUACACAAAAAUGCACAUACUGUGAGCUCGAUGAGUAGGGCGGGACACGUGGUAUCCUGUCUGAAUAUGGGGGGACCAUCCUCCAAGGCUAAAUACUCCUGACUGACCGAUAGUGAACCAGUACCGUGAGGGAAAGGCGAAAAGAACCCCGGCGAGGGGAGUGAAAAAGAACCUGAAACCGUGUACGUACAAGCAGUGGGAGCCUCUUUUAUGGGGUGACUGCGUACCUUUUGUAUAAUGGGUCAGCGACUUAUAUUCUGUAGCAAGGUUAACCGAAUAGGGGAGCCGAAGGGAAACCGAGUCUUAACUGGGCGUUAAGUUGCAGGGUAUAGACCCGAAACCCGGUGAUCUAGCCAUGGGCAGGUUGAAGGUUGGGUAACACUAACUGGAGGACCGAACCGACUAAUGUUGAAAAAUUAGCGGAUGACUUGUGGCUGGGGGUGAAAGGCCAAUCAAACCGGGAGAUAGCUGGUUCUCCCCGAAAGCUAUUUAGGUAGCGCCUCGUGAAUUCAUCUCCGGGGGUAGAGCACUGUUUCGGCAAGGGGGUCAUCCCGACUUACCAACCCGAUGCAAACUGCGAAUACCGGAGAAUGUUAUCACGGGAGACACACGGCGGGUGCUAACGUCCGUCGUGAAGAGGGAAACAACCCAGACCGCCAGCUAAGGUCCCAAAGUCAUGGUUAAGUGGGAAACGAUGUGGGAAGGCCCAGACAGCCAGGAUGUUGGCUUAGAAGCAGCCAUCAUUUAAAGAAAGCGUAAUAGCUCACUGGUCGAGUCGGCCUGCGCGGAAGAUGUAACGGGGCUAAACCAUGCACCGAAGCUGCGGCAGCGACACUAUGUGUUGUUGGGUAGGGGAGCGUUCUGUAAGCCUGUGAAGGUGUACUGUGAGGUAUGCUGGAGGUAUCAGAAGUGCGAAUGCUGACAUAAGUAACGAUAAAGCGGGUGAAAAGCCCGCUCGCCGGAAGACCAAGGGUUCCUGUCCAACGUUAAUCGGGGCAGGGUGAGUCGACCCCUAAGGCGAGGCCGAAAGGCGUAGUCGAUGGGAAACAGGUUAAUAUUCCUGUACUUGGUGUUACUGCGAAGGGGGGACGGAGAAGGCUAUGUUGGCCGGGCGACGGUUGUCCCGGUUUAAGCGUGUAGGCUGGUUUUCCAGGCAAAUCCGGAAAAUCAAGGCUGAGGCGUGAUGACGAGGCACUACGGUGCUGAAGCAACAAAUGCCCUGCUUCCAGGAAAAGCCUCUAAGCAUCAGGUAACAUCAAAUCGUACCCCAAACCGACACAGGUGGUCAGGUAGAGAAUACCAAGGCGCUUGAGAGAACUCGGGUGAAGGAACUAGGCAAAAUGGUGCCGUAACUUCGGGAGAAGGCACGCUGAUAUGUAGGUGAAGUCCCUCGCGGAUGGAGCUGAAAUCAGUCGAAGAUACCAGCUGGCUGCAACUGUUUAUUAAAAACACAGCACUGUGCAAACACGAAAGUGGACGUAUACGGUGUGACGCCUGCCCGGUGCCGGAAGGUUAAUUGAUGGGGUCAGCGCAAGCGAAGCUCUUGAUCGAAGCCCCGGUAAACGGCGGCCGUAACUAUAACGGUCCUAAGGUAGCGAAAUUCCUUGUCGGGUAAGUUCCGACCUGCACGAAUGGCGUAAUGAUGGCCAGGCUGUCUCCACCCGAGACUCAGUGAAAUUGAACUCGCUGUGAAGAUGCAGUGUACCCGCGGCAAGACGGAAAGACCCCGUGAACCUUUACUAUAGCUUGACACUGAACAUUGAGCCUUGAUGUGUAGGAUAGGUGGGAGGCUUAGAAGUGUGGACGCCAGUCUGCAUGGAGCCGACCUUGAAAUACCACCCUUUAAUGUUUGAUGUUCUAACGUUGACCCGUGAUCCGGGUUGCGGACAGUGUCUGGUGGGUAGUUUGACUGGGGCGGUCUCCUCCUAAAGAGUAACGGAGGAGCACGAAGGUUGGCUAAUCCUGGUCGGACAUCAGGAGGUUAGUGCAAUGGCAUAAGCCAGCUUGACUGCGAGCGUGACGGCGCGAGCAGGUGCGAAAGCAGGUCAUAGUGAUCCGGUGGUUCUGAAUGGAAGGGCCAUCGCUCAACGGAUAAAAGGUACUCCGGGGAUAACAGGCUGAUACCGCCCAAGAGUUCAUAUCGACGGCGGUGUUUGGCACCUCGAUGUCGGCUCAUCACAUCCUGGGGCUGAAGUAGGUCCCAAGGGUAUGGCUGUUCGCCAUUUAAAGUGGUACGCGAGCUGGGUUUAGAACGUCGUGAGACAGUUCGGUCCCUAUCUGCCGUGGGCGCUGGAGAACUGAGGGGGGCUGCUCCUAGUACGAGAGGACCGGAGUGGACGCAUCACUGGUGUUCGGGUUGUCAUGCCAAUGGCACUGCCCGGUAGCUAAAUGCGGAAGAGAUAAGUGCUGAAAGCAUCUAAGCACGAAACUUGCCCCGAGAUGAGUUCUCCCUGAC
This 2801-nucleotide ribosomal RNA is filed under the name Escherichia coli. Its description in RNAcentral is "bacterial LSU rRNA". It matches the Rfam family "Bacterial large subunit ribosomal RNA". Lineage: Bacteria; Pseudomonadati; Pseudomonadota; Gammaproteobacteria; Enterobacterales; Enterobacteriaceae. The record is from RNAcentral.